This 558-nucleotide ribosomal RNA is filed under the name uncultured archaeon. Its description in RNAcentral is "bacterial SSU rRNA". It matches the Rfam family "Archaeal small subunit ribosomal RNA", at positions 319 to 879 of the family's 1478-position model. The record is from RNAcentral.
GGCCCUAUGGGGCGCAGCAGGCGCGAAACCUCCUCAAUGCACUAACGUGCGAAGGGGUUACCUCGAGUGCCACCUGAAGAAGGUGGCUUUUCCUUGGUCUAAAGAGCCUCGGGAAUAAGAGGGGGGCAAGACUGGUGUCAGCCGCCGCGGUAACACCAGCCCCUCGAGUGGUGGGGAUGAUUAUUUGGCCUAAAGCGUCCGUAGCCGGCCGGGUAAGUUUCCCGUUAAAUCUAACGUCUCAAGCGUUGGUCUGCGGGAAAUACUGUCUGGCUAGAGAGUGGGAGAGGUAAGCGGUAUUCUGGGGGUAGGGGCGAAAUCCUUUGAUCCCCGGAGGACCACCAGUGGCGAAGGCUGCUUACUAGAACACGUCUGACGGUCAGGGACGAAAGCUGGGGUAGCGAACCGGAUUAGAUACCCGGGUAGUCCCAGCUGUAAACGAUGCAUGCUAGGUGUUGGGUUGGCCACGAGCCACCCCAGUGCCGCAGGGAAGCCGUUAAGCAUGCCGCCUGGGAAGUACGAUCGCAAGAUUGAAACUUAAAGGAAUUGGCGGGGGAGCAC